GACGAACGCUGGCGGCGUGCCUAAUACAUGCAAGUAGAACGCACAGUUUAUACCGUAGCUUGCUACACCAUAGACUGUGAGUUGCGAACGGGUGAGUAACGCGUAGGUAACCUGCCUGGUAGCGGGGGAUAACUAUUGGAAACGAUAGCUAAUACCGCAUAAUAUUAAUUAUUGCAUGAUAAUUAAUUGAAAGGUGCAAUUGCACCACUACCAGAUGGACCUGCGUUGUAUUAGCUAGUAGGUGAGGUAACGGCUCACCUAGGCGACGAUACAUAGCCGACCUGGGGGGGUGGUCGGCCACACUGGGACUGGGACACGGCCCAGACUCCUACGGGAGGCAGCAGUAGGGAAUCUUCGGCAAUGGACGAAAGUCUGACCGAGCAACGCCGCGUGAGGGAAGAAGGGUGUCGGAUCGUAAAGCUCUGUUGUAAGAGAAGAACGGGUGUGAGAGUGGAAAGUUCACACUGUGACGGUAUCUUACCAGAAAGGGACGGCUAACUACGUG
This 505-nucleotide ribosomal RNA is filed under the name uncultured bacterium. Its description in RNAcentral is "partial 16S ribosomal RNA". It matches the Rfam family "Bacterial small subunit ribosomal RNA", at positions 28 to 507 of the family's 1533-position model. The record is from RNAcentral.